This 253-nucleotide ribosomal RNA is filed under the name uncultured bacterium. Its description in RNAcentral is "partial 16S ribosomal RNA". It matches the Rfam family "Bacterial small subunit ribosomal RNA", at positions 524 to 776 of the family's 1533-position model. The record is from RNAcentral.
GACGAACCGUGCAAACGUUAUUCGGAAUCACUGGGCAUAAAGGGCGCGUAGGCGGCUCCAAAAGUCAGGGGUGAAAUCCGGCAGCUUAACUGUCGCAGUGCCUUUGAUACUGUGGAGCUAGAGGGAGGUAGGGGUCUGUGGAACUUCCGGUGGAGCGGUGAAAUGCGUUGAUAUCGGAAGGAACGCCGGUGGCGAAAGCGACGUGCUGGCCUGUUCUUGACGCUGAGGCGCGAAAGCUAGGGGAGCAAACGGG